GCACCCCCUGCCCCGCGCACAAUCCUGGUGCAAGGCUUCGACGGCUUCUGAGCCUCACUUACCUGCUGUCUCGGACUGGGCCGCACACCUGCAGCGGGCUCACGUUAAAGACCUGGAACCUGUGCGGCCGCCUGCGCGCACCCACCCGGAUUCACUAGGGCCGUAACCACUUCCGUUCCUGCGACAGGCCUGGAGGACGUAAUCCCAGCUGGCGUGUGGGAACGGGCAACGCCAUUUUGUACGGAAGCUACUGGGGCAGGUGAUGCCUACCCAGUCUCUCUCCUCUGUUGAACAAAGGAUCUGUUAAAAUUGGAAGGGCUUAACGUCUUCUUCAGAAAAGUGACGCAUUUGUUACUGGGAUGGUAAGGUUCAGCAAAGUCUAUGUCAUUCUCUAAUCCUUUUGAUCCAGCGGAUUCUUUGGAGGAAUUUGAAUACAUAUUGGAUUUUGCAUCCAGGUUUGCAAGAGGAAAAUACAAAGGUGACUUCUGGGCCUGCUGGAGGUGGAGGGUAGAGGAUGGACAGCUGACAUCUAGUCACAGAGGAAAGAACACAGAAAGAGAUCUCCAGUUAAAGCUGAUAGAUUGAACCACACACAACCCACCUCCUUCUAAAAUCCCUCUAGAACAAUGGUUUAAAAAAAGUACUUUAACAUAAAGCUUCAAAAUCAAAAAGAUAAGGAAAAUGAUGAAAACCACUCAGAUAAGAAGAGAGGAUAUUUAUGCAGAGGCUGCCGUCGUUGGGAGUCCGCCACCAUACCACCAUACUUUGGUGAGACUUGAAGGCAGGCAGGGAGUGGAAACACUUUAUGCUGUAGUGAACAAAGGGGAAGGCUUCGGUAUGCUCUGACUGGAGAUCAUUGUCAUGGGGAAACUGCAGGUGGGCUAACUAGAGGCUGGGCUUCUUGUGUAAUGGUUUGGCUUUCUCUGGUUGGUCCUGUGUUGAAAAUAGGGGCAAAAUAUAGGGAAGCUGACUCAUUGACCAAGCCCUGCCCAGGCUGGCCGAUUGCAGAGGUUGUGGGUCAGAGUUCUAUUGUCAUAUAUGGUCUGGCUACUGUCUGUUUAUAUAAUCCGUCUCUCAGAGAACAGUAGAGGAGAUCAAAUUAUUAACAUUUUGGAAGCUGGAAAGCAGGAGGAUAGUGUGAGCUGAAUUAGCAGACUUGCCAUCUAUCAAAGGGGAUAGCCAAAAGCAAGCCAGAUUUGCCCCAGAGAACCACCAAAGGUUCAAGAAUUGGCAGCACCAGGUGCCCCCAGAAGCAGGGAUAAAGUGGGGGCUGAAAUUGGACAGUUGGUUCAAAGUCUAUUUCAGAAGCAUUAGACCACUGGAUUUCUUCCCCAGCUCCCAAAUGACUGCCUGGUGCAAAAGACUCAGGACUGAUUCCCUGGAGAGAGUAGGUAGUUCUUUGUCUAGUUAAGGAUAGGAUGCCAUAACAAACAUGCCAAUUCAGUGAAAGUACCUACUUUCAAGACUCCUGCUUAACUCCCCUAAAUCAGCAGCCAAUGUUAGAAGCCAAGUGUUAAAGUUUUUCAGAUAAUUUUGCUAUAAGCCUAUGGGGAAAUUUCAUUACCAUCUCAUAGCAAGGCCUAUAGUAUAAGAGCAGGCCUAUAGUAGCAUAUGGGGGAAAGUCUAAAAGACUUUGAAAUGGACCAAAAGAUUAUUGAGAAAUGGAAAACUGCAUUGUUUUAAG
This 1684-nucleotide long non-coding RNA is filed under the name Pan troglodytes (chimpanzee). RNAcentral's name for it is "long non-coding RNA NONPTRT005108". The record is from RNAcentral. Lineage: Eukaryota; Metazoa; Chordata; Mammalia; Primates; Hominidae.